AAAAAAAGCAAAAAGGCAUCAAAGGACGGUACGGAGAGGAAAAGCCGGUUACUGAAGCGAAAAGAAAAAAAACUUCCAUCGAAACAGAGCCUUCACCAAGCCAGGAUACAGCAAAUCCUCCAACAGAGAAGAAAAAAAAGAAAAGCAAAUUGAAAUCAGCUGAAGUCCCAGAAACGCCUGAUGUUUUCUACAGAGACACAAAUCGUCCAAACGCCCUCAAGUGACGGCCACAAAAAGAAGAAGAAAUCAUCCAAGAGCCAUGAAGACGUUUGACGCUUCAUCCCUGCAAAGCCACAAAACGAAGGCAACACGUCAUUUCUGUCCUGUUUCUGAUCAUAUUCUGAUGGUUAGAAGGAUGAUUUAAAACUGUAAAGAGAACUAGUGUUUUUAUUUUGGUACCUUUUAAAAUCUUUUUCAUUGGUUUUUUGUUCUGUGUUUUGCGACUGUGUGUCUUUUCUACUUAAAUAUUUUUAUGAUAAUUGCUAUUUUCAUGGCAUGUAAAGGAAGUAAAGAAGCAGUUGUUUCAUGGAGUCUUGUGACAUUUGAAAUCUCACCGCUGACUGAAUGAAGAAACGUCUCUUUUAAGCACGUUUUCUUUCAGUCUCAGGGAUUUCUUGUACUGUAGUCUAAACAUGAGAGGCUCUCUGAAGCCAUUUUAUGAUGAUUUAAAUUUUAUAAUAAAUUCAAACAUAAGGAAUCUGAUUUUUUUAAAGUUUUUUUGUAAUCUCUGUUUGAUUUCAGUAUGUUUUCUACUGUUCCACUUCUCUUGUAUUUGGCACAAAAAAACAAUGUUGUGAAGAAAACACAGUACAAACAAAAUUUUAAUCAGCUGUUUAUUUAUUCAAAAUAUUGUGAAAAAAACAUGUAUUUGGUUUUGACAGAGAGAUCUCUAUGUUUGACGGAGCAUUCAUUUAUAAAGUGCACAACAGCAGUAAGUACGACCCUGUGCAGUAUUGUUUAAAUGUUAAAUUCUGCAAAAUUUUGUCACCUCUUGAAAACUGCAAUAACUGCAUUUGCUCUUGUGUACAUUUUCAAGCAAUUUUAUAUUUAAUAUAUUAAAAAUUCAAGCCCCAAAGUAGCACCUCAAUGUAAACAAAGUCAGUGCAUCUUGUAUUAUGGAGA
This is a long non-coding RNA of Acanthochromis polyacanthus (spiny chromis), 1122 nucleotides long. RefSeq lists it as uncharacterized. The record is from RefSeq and is a predicted model, not a curated record. NCBI's taxonomy places the organism in Eukaryota, Metazoa, Chordata, Actinopteri, Pomacentridae. The transcript is spliced from 3 exons.